GGUUGGUUCAUGGACGUAUAAUGCAGUCGAGCGAACGGACGAGAAGCUUGCUUCUCUGAUGUUAGCGGCGGACGGGUGAGUAACACGUGGAUAACCUACCUAUAAGACUGGGAUAACUUCGGGAAACCGGAGCUAAUACCGGAUAAUAUUUUGAACCGCAUGGUUCAAAAGUGAAAGACGGUCUUGCUGUCACUUAUAGAUGGAUCCGCGCUGCAUUAGCUAGUUGGUAAGGUAACGGCUUACCAAGGCAACGAUGCAUAGCCGACCUGAGAGGGUGAUCGGCCACACUGGAACUGAGACACGGUCCAGACUCCUACGGGAGGCAGCAGUAGGGAAUCUUCCGCAAUGGGCGAAAGCCUGACGGAGCAACGCCGCGUGAGUGAUGAAGGUCUUCGGAUCGUAAAACUCUGUUAUUAGGGAAGAACAUAUGUGUAAGUAACUGUGCACAUCUUGACGGUACCUAAUCAGAAAGCCACGGCUAACUACGUGCCAGCAGCCGCGGUAAUACGUAGGUGGCAAGCGUUAUCCGGAAUUAUUGGGCGUAAAGCGCGCGUAGGCGGUUUUUUAAGUCUGAUGUGAAAGCCCACGGCUCAACCGUGGAGGGUCAUUGGAAACUGGAAAACUUGAGUGCAGAAGAGGAAAGUGGAAUUCCAUGUGUAGCGGUGAAAUGCGCAGAGAUAUGGAGGAACACCAGUGGCGAAGGCGACUUUCUGGUCUGUAACUGACGCUGAUGUGCGAAAGCGUGGGGAUCAAACAGGAUUAGAUACCCUGGUAGUCCACGCCGUAAACGAUGAGUGCUAAGUGUUAGGGGUUUCCGCCCCUUAGUGCUGCAGCUAACGCAUUAAGCACUCCGCCUGGGGAGUACGACCGCAAGGUUGAAAAUCAAAGAAAAUUUGACGG
RNAcentral lists this ribosomal RNA (900 nucleotides) under Staphylococcus aureus. RNAcentral describes it as "bacterial SSU rRNA". It matches the Rfam family "Bacterial small subunit ribosomal RNA", at positions 35 to 916 of the family's 1533-position model. Lineage: Bacteria; Bacillati; Bacillota; Bacilli; Caryophanales; Staphylococcaceae. The record is from RNAcentral.